AUUGAACGCUGGCGGCAGGCCUAACACAUGCAAGUCAAGCGGAUGAAGGGAGCUUGCUCCUGGAUUCAGCGGCGGACGGGUGAGUAAUGCCUAGGAAUCUGCCUGGUAUUGGGGGAUAACGUCCGGAAACGGGCGCUAAUACCGCAUACGUCCUGAGGGAGAAAGUGGGGGAUCUUCGGACCUCACGCUAUCAGAUGAGCCUAGGUCGGAUUAGCUAGUUGGUGGGGUAAAGGCCUACCAAGGCGACGAUCCGUAACUGGUCUGAGAGGAUGAUCAGUCACACUGGAACUGAGACACGGUCCAGACUCCUACGGGAGGCAGCAGUGGGGAAUAUUGGACAAUGGGCGAAAGCCUGAUCCAGCCAUGCCGCGUGUGUGAAGAAGGUCUUCGGAUUGUAAAGCACUUUAAGUUGGGAGGAAGGGCAGUAAGUUAAUACCUUGCUGUUUUGACGUUAACAACAGAAUAAGCACCGGCUAACUUCGUG
RNAcentral lists this ribosomal RNA (484 nucleotides) under uncultured bacterium. RNAcentral describes it as "partial 16S ribosomal RNA". It matches the Rfam family "Bacterial small subunit ribosomal RNA", at positions 30 to 507 of the family's 1533-position model. The record is from RNAcentral.